This 239-nucleotide ribosomal RNA is filed under the name uncultured bacterium. RNAcentral's name for it is "partial 16S ribosomal RNA". It matches the Rfam family "Bacterial small subunit ribosomal RNA", at positions 15 to 240 of the family's 1533-position model. The record is from RNAcentral.
GAUCUGGCUCAGGAUGAACGCUAGCGACAGGCCUAACACAUGCAAGUCGGAGGGGCAGCGAAGAGGUAGCAGUUACCUUUGCCGGCGACCGGCGCACGGGUGAGUAACACGUAUGCAAUCCACCUGUAACAGGGGGGAUAACCCGGGAGAAAUCCGGACUAAUACCCCAUAAUAUGGGCGCUCCGCAUGGAGAGCCCAUUAAAGAGAGCAAUUUUGGUUACAGACGAGCAUGCGCUCCA